UAAGGCUUUAGCUUAAUAAAAGUGUCUGUUUUGCAUACAGAAGAUGUGGGUUAAUGUCCCGUAAGUCUUA
This 70-nucleotide transfer RNA is filed under the name Aplocheilichthys spilauchen. RNAcentral's name for it is "tRNA-Ala". It matches the Rfam family "tRNA". Rfam says of the family: Transfer RNA (tRNA) molecules are approximately 80 nucleotides in length. Their secondary structure includes four short double-helical elements and three loops (D, anti-codon, and T loops). The record is from RNAcentral. Lineage: Eukaryota; Metazoa; Chordata; Actinopteri; Cyprinodontiformes; Procatopodidae.